UCUCUGGUAGUAUAUCGGUUAGUACACGCGCCUGUCAUCCAAUACCUUUGUAGGAAAUGACUUUUCGCGCGAAAGCUGGGUUCGACUCCCAGCCAGAGAG
This 100-nucleotide transfer RNA is filed under the name Armillaria gallica. RNAcentral's name for it is "tRNA-Asp". It matches the Rfam family "tRNA". From Rfam's summary of the family: Transfer RNA (tRNA) molecules are approximately 80 nucleotides in length. Their secondary structure includes four short double-helical elements and three loops (D, anti-codon, and T loops). The record is from RNAcentral. Lineage: Eukaryota; Fungi; Basidiomycota; Agaricomycetes; Agaricales; Physalacriaceae.